Molecule: ribosomal RNA, 689 nt
Filed under: uncultured bacterium
Lineage: Bacteria
Description: bacterial SSU rRNA
Rfam family: Bacterial small subunit ribosomal RNA
Source: RNAcentral
AUUGAACGCUGGCGGCAUGCUUUACACAUGCAAGUCGAACGGUAACAGGCCGCAAGGUGCUGACGAGUGGCAACGGGUGAGUAAUGCAUCGGAACGUGCCCAGUCGUGGGGGAUAACGCAGCGAAAGCUGCGCUAAUACCGCAUACGAUCUGUGGAUGAAAGCGGGGACCUUCGGGCCUCGCGCGAUUGGAGCGGCCGAUGUCAGAUUAGGUAGUUGGUGGGGUAAAGGCUCACCAAGCCGACGAUCUGUAGCUGGUCUGAGAGGACGACCAGCCACACUGGGACUGAGACACGGCCCCAGACUCCUACGGGAGGCAGCAGUGGGGAAUUUUGGACAAUGGGGGCAACCCUGUCCAGCAAUGCCGCGUGCAGGAAGAAGGCCUUCGGGUUGUAAACUGCUUUUUGUACGGAACGAAAAGGCUCUGGUUAAUUACCUGGGGCUCAUGACGGUACCGUAAGAAUAAGCACCGGCUAACUACGUGCCAGCAGCCGCGGUAAUACGUAGGGUGCGAGCGUUAAUCGGAAUUACUGGGCGUAAAGCGUGCGCAGGCGGUGCUGUAAGACAGGCGUGAAAUCCCCGGGCUUAACCUGGGAAUGGCGCUUGUGACUGCAGUGCUGGAGUGUGGCAGAGGGGGCAUGGAAUUCCGCGUGUAGCAGUGAAUGCGUAGAUAUGCGGAGGAACACCGUGG